Molecule: non-coding RNA, 82 nt
Organism: Paragonimus kellicotti
Lineage: Eukaryota; Metazoa; Platyhelminthes; Trematoda; Plagiorchiida; Troglotrematidae
Source: the annotation of a GenBank genome assembly
GGCUUCGUAGCUCAGCUGGCAGAGCGUCUUGGCGCGUUUAAGCAUACUGUUUUUGUCGCCGGUUCGAAUCCAGCUGAAGCCC